AAGUCGUAACAAGGUCUGCCGUUGGUGAACCAGCGGAGGGAUCAUUACUGAGUACUGACGACUCCUCUACCCUUUGUGAACUAUUAUACCUGUUGCUUCGGCGGCCGCCCGCAAGGGUGCCCGCCGGUCUCAUCAGAGAUCUCUGUUUUCGAACCGACGGAUACUUCUGAGUGUUCUUAAGGGAACUGUCAAAACUUUUAACAACGGCGGAUCUCUUGGCUCCAGCAUCGAUGAAGAACGCAGCGAAACGCGACUAUGUAAUGUGAAUUGCAGGAAUUCAGUGAAUCAUCGAAUCUUUGAACGCACAUGGCGCCUUCCAGUAUCCUGGGAGGUCAUGCCUGUCCGAGCGUCGUUUCAACCCUCGAGCCCCUGUGGCCCGGCGUUGGGGAUCUGCCACGGCAGGCCCCUAAAACCAGUGGCGGACCCGAAGGGCCCUCUCCUUUGCGCAGUAGCAUUCGCCUCGCAUCGGGAGUCCUCGGCGUCCUGCCUCUAGAACCCCCACAAGCCCGCUUCGGCGGCACCAAGGGUUGACCGUCGGAUCAGGGUAGGAUACCCGCUGAACUUAAGCAUAUCGAAUAA
Molecule: ribosomal RNA, 579 nt
Filed under: uncultured fungus
Lineage: Eukaryota; Fungi
Description: eukaryotic LSU rRNA
Rfam family: 5.8S ribosomal RNA (bases 193-352)
Source: RNAcentral